Molecule: transfer RNA, 16 nt
Filed under: Crocidura negrina (Negros shrew)
Lineage: Eukaryota; Metazoa; Chordata; Mammalia; Eulipotyphla; Soricidae
Description: partial tRNA-Glu
Source: RNAcentral
CAACUACAGAAACUUU